CCGAGUUUACAACUCCCAAACCCAAUGUGAACCAUACCAAACUGUUGCCUCGGCGGGGUCACGCCCCGGGUGCGUCGCAGCCCCGGAACCAGGCGCCCGCCGGAGGGACCAACCAAACUCUUUUCUGUAGUCCCCUCGCGGACGUUAUUUCUUACAGCUCUGAGCAAAAAUUCAAAAUGAAU
This 182-nucleotide ribosomal RNA is filed under the name Trichoderma harzianum. RNAcentral describes it as "internal transcribed spacer". Lineage: Eukaryota; Fungi; Ascomycota; Sordariomycetes; Hypocreales; Hypocreaceae. The record is from RNAcentral.